Molecule: ribosomal RNA, 473 nt
Filed under: uncultured organism
Description: partial 16S ribosomal RNA
Rfam family: Bacterial small subunit ribosomal RNA
Source: RNAcentral
CACUCCUGCGGGAGGCAGCAGUGGGGAAUAUUGCACAAUGGGCGCAAGCCUGAUGCAGCCAUGCCGCGUGUGUGAAGAAGGCCUUCGGGUUGUAAAGCACUUUCAGCGGGGAGGAAGGCGAUACGGUUAAUAACCGUGUUGAUUGACGUUACCCGCAGAAGAAGCACCGGCUAACUCCGUGCCAGCAGCCGCGGUAAUACGGAGGGUGCAAGCGUUAAUCGGAAUUACUGGGCGUAAAGCGCACGCAGGCGGUCUGUCAAGUCGGAUGUGAAAUCCCCGGGCUCAACCUGGGAACUGCAUUCGAAACUGGCAGGCUUGAGUCUUGUAGAGGGGGGUAGAAUUCCAGGUGUAGCGGUGAAAUGCGUAGAGAUCUGGAGGAAUACCGGUGGCGAAGGCGGCCCCCUGGACAAAGACUGACGCUCAGGUGCGAAAGCGUGGGGAGCAAACAGGAUUAGAAACCCCGGUAGUCCCAU